AGAGUUUGAUCCUGGCUCAGGAUGAAUGCUGGCGGCGUGGAUGAGGCAUGCAAGUCGAAUGGGCUUAGACCCAUGGCAGACGAGGUAGGAACACGUAGGUACGUACCCCAAAGUCAGGGAUAAUCUGCCGAAAGGCAGGAUAAUACUUGAUAGUCUCUUCGGAGUAAAGAUUUAUCGCUUUGGGAACGGCCUGCGGGCUAUCAGCUAGUUGGUACGGUAACGGCGUACCAAGGCUACGACGGCUAGGGGAGGUGAGAGCCUGACCCCCACCGAUGGAACUGCGACACGGUCCAUACUCCUACGGGAGGCUGCAGUCGAGAAUCUUCCGCAAUGGACGAAAGUCUGACGGAGCGACGCCGCGUGGUGGAUGAAGUCCUUAGGGACGUAAACACCUUUUAUGAGGGAGGAAAUUUUGACGUACCUCAGAAUAAGGUCAUUGUCCA
This 443-nucleotide ribosomal RNA is filed under the name uncultured Parcubacteria group bacterium. Its description in RNAcentral is "bacterial SSU rRNA". It matches the Rfam family "Bacterial small subunit ribosomal RNA", at positions 8 to 500 of the family's 1533-position model. The record is from RNAcentral.